Molecule: non-coding RNA, 1006 nt
Organism: Camellia sinensis
Lineage: Eukaryota; Viridiplantae; Streptophyta; Magnoliopsida; Ericales; Theaceae
Source: RefSeq, a predicted model, not a curated record
CCUAUCAAUGAUGUCCUUUCUCCUUUCUUGUUAUUCCCAAAAUUAUUGUAUUUCAAUCCAUUGAAGUGAAAAGAGAUUCUUGGUUCUUGUUUUUUCUCAAACUUACUGUGUGCUCUUCCCAUUUCAAAACACCUAUGAACCAUCUCUUUUUGACCUUUAUGCUUGUUCUUAACUUUAUUUUUUCCUCAUUUGUAUUCUCACAUAAGAGCAUCUAACAAUGCCUUUAUAUAUUUUCCUCAAGUCAUGCUUUAUCACUAUUGGAGUUUCAACAAAUUCUCACAUAAGAAUGGCCACUAUUGGGUGGGGGUGAGAUAUAGAACAAUUAAAGAUUGGUUGAAUAAACUAGAGUGCUCCUAAAGGCAUAGACAUUAAAGACUGAAAACUUUAACAGUGGAUAGUCAAAAGUCCAAAACAAUUUCAGCAAACCAGUCCUAAUUGACAAUUUUUUCGGUAAGCUAUUUCUGACACAUAGCUCUUUAAGAAAUUAGCAAUGAUAGAGGAAUAUCACAGAGGCAUUAACAAUACCAUUUCUAAAAGAAGUAGCAUAAGCCAAUAGAGGAAAUAGAUCAAAAAUGGUUGUCAAUUCCCUUUGGAAGUUCCCUUUUGUUACAAGUCCAGUCAUAAAUUUCUCAAAUGGCACCAAACAACCCACAAGGAACAUAUAUUAUCUACUAUAGGAACCUAAUCAAAGUACAAUAAAGCGUGAAGUCAUGGACACUGUCAGUGUUCCCAACAUUCUAAAGUCUACAAUUGUUCUCAUUAAAAAGGGGAUGUUGCACGGCAAAUGCAUAGGACACCAUUCUAUAUUUCAAUAGAAAUUGACAAAGGUAUAGUCCUCAUAAAGACUUUAAAGUUCAAACCCAGCUAAAAAACAAUAGACAGAGUAACAAACCCAAAUAAAUUAAAUUAUGUUGCACUAUUAAUAAUCACUUCAUUCAAGCACAUAACACAAAAUUCCCAAAAUCAAAUAAUUGAAACAAGAAACUGAACCCAAAAAAAAAAAAAA